Molecule: ribosomal RNA, 1539 nt
Filed under: Klebsiella pneumoniae
Lineage: Bacteria; Pseudomonadati; Pseudomonadota; Gammaproteobacteria; Enterobacterales; Enterobacteriaceae
Description: bacterial SSU rRNA
Rfam family: Bacterial small subunit ribosomal RNA
Source: RNAcentral
AAAUUGAAGAGUUUGAUCAUGGCUCAGAUUGAACGCUGGCGGCAGGCCUAACACAUGCAAGUCGAGCGGUAGCACAGAGAGCUUGCUCUCGGGUGACGAGCGGCGGACGGGUGAGUAAUGUCUGGGAAACUGCCUGAUGGAGGGGGAUAACUACUGGAAACGGUAGCUAAUACCGCAUAAUGUCGCAAGACCAAAGUGGGGGACCUUCGGGCCUCAUGCCAUCAGAUGUGCCCAGAUGGGAUUAGCUAGUAGGUGGGGUAACGGCUCACCUAGGCGACGAUCCCUAGCUGGUCUGAGAGGAUGACCAGCCACACUGGAACUGAGACACGGUCCAGACUCCUACGGGAGGCAGCAGUGGGGAAUAUUGCACAAUGGGCGCAAGCCUGAUGCAGCCAUGCCGCGUGUGUGAAGAAGGCCUUCGGGUUGUAAAGCACUUUCAGCGGGGAGGAAGGCGGUGAGGUUAAUAACCUCAUCGAUUGACGUUACCCGCAGAAGAAGCACCGGCUAACUCCGUGCCAGCAGCCGCGGUAAUACGGAGGGUGCAAGCGUUAAUCGGAAUUACUGGGCGUAAAGCGCACGCAGGCGGUCUGUCAAGUCGGAUGUGAAAUCCCCGGGCUUAACCUGGGAACUGCAUUCGAAACUGGCAGGCUAGAGUCUUGUAGAGGGGGUAGAAUUCCAGGUGUAGCGGUGAAAUGCGUAGAGAUCUGGAGGAAUACCGGUGGCGAAGGCGGCCCCCUGGACAAAGACUGACGCUCAGGUGCGAAAGCGUGGGGAGCAAACAGGAUUAGAUACCCUGGUAGUCCACGCCGUAAACGAUGUCGAUUUGGAGGUUGUGCCCUUGAGGCGUGGCUUCCGGAGCUAACGCGUUAAAUCGACCGCCUGGGGAGUACGGCCGCAAGGUUAAAACUCAAAUGAAUUGACGGGGGCCCGCACAAGCGGUGGAGCAUGUGGUUUAAUUCGAUGCAACGCGAAGAACCUUACCUGGUCUUGACAUCCACAGAACUUUCCAGAGAUGGAUUGGUGCCUUCGGGAACUGUGAGACAGGUGCUGCAUGGCUGUCGUCAGCUCGUGUUGUGAAAUGUUGGGUUAAGUCCCGCAACGAGCGCAACCCUUAUCCUUUGUUGCCAGCGGUCCGGCCGGGAACUCAAAGGAGACUGCCAGUGAUAAACUGGAGGAAGGUGGGGAUGACGUCAAGUCAUCAUGGCCCUUACGACCAGGGCUACACACGUGCUACAAUGGCAUAUACAAAGAGAAGCGACCUCGCGAGAGCAAGCGGACCUCAUAAAGUAUGUCGUAGUCCGGAUUGGAGUCUGCAACUCGACUCCAUGAAGUCGGAAUCGCUAGUAAUCGUAGAUCAGAAUGCUACGGUGAAUACGUUCCCGGGCCUUGUACACACCGCCCGUCACACCAUGGGAGUGGGUUGCAAAAGAAGUAGGUAGCUUAACCUUCGGGAGGGCGCUUACCACUUUGUGAUUCAUGACUGGGGUGAAGUCGUAACAAGGUAACCGUAGGGGAACCUGCGGUUGGAUCACCUCCUUA